CACACGUACGCACAUAACGUUUCGCCAUACGCACGGAUCUGCUGUUUGCAGCAGAUCCUUCGCAUGCGACUGUCUUCUGCUAGCUCUCUCUUUUCCGUGUGUGUGUGUGUGUGUGUGUGUUGUGGUCCCAGUGGCACAACUCCUCUUCCCAACAUCCCCUUCCAGACUCUGCCCAGCGCUCACCAAAGACCGGCUGGUGAAGUCUACAGACGUACCCUGUUUAUCCUUCCGUCGAAACGCAAGAAGGACUCACGGCUCUUCAUACACUCACGUAGUGAGGACACCCAAUUACCGCACGGCACCGGAAUACUCAUAUGACCAUGCAGGGUCAAGGCAACAACGUCCCACAGAGACACCAGCAGAGCCAGCUGGACAGCGACGAUGAGAGCUACACCGGCAGCUCAGGCUCCUACUCUGAGAUGGUGUCGGAGGCAUCGAAACGCCAGCAGCAGUCGGCUGCGGUUGCGGAGCGUCGAUUGUCACCCAAGGUGGAGCAGGGGAACCGCACGCGCGGCUUACAGCAGACACCGUCCCCGGUGAAGCGCGGCGAUGCGCAAGGGGCGCAGCAAGAGGAGGGCGGCGAGACGGCGCAGAAGAAGGGCCGUGCCGCACGCGGCAAGGCCAAGGCGCGGACUAUGAUGAACGCUGCCUUGGAAGCUCCAGUGGCGCGAGUGCGGGCCGUGACCGAAGCCGUGUCCGGCAGGGACAGCCAGCGCGUGACCAUUUACGUCUUUUUCUGCAUCGCGUGGGUACAUCUCAUCUUCGUGAUUCUCUCCUCGGCACUGUCACAGAUUGACGUGGUCGGCGGGGGUUGCUACACCUUCUGGGGGUACAAGGCAAACUGCGACACCGUGAGCUACACACGCCGCACAGUCCUCCUCCAAAGGUGCAGUCGAGUGCGCAGCAUCCUUCAGGCUGGCUCUGCCUUCUCCAUCAUCUCCGUCCUGGCAUCGGCGGCGACGUUGGUGACAUCGUGGGUGCUGUGCUGCCGCCUCCGCGAAGCCGAUCGCCAUGUUCGCUCUCCGAGUGGUUACGCGAACAUGGACGAGGUGGCCCUUGCACAGGAGCCCGGCUGUAACGAGGGUAUUGAGAAUGGCAGUCAGGCAGACGCGCCCGUAUAUGACGCGGGCGAUCUCAAGAAGGUGAUGAUGAUUGUUGUGGCCUUCAGUCUCGCCUGUGAGCUCACCUGCUGGGCGCUCAUCGCCGCCAUCAUCACAGAGCGCUACUGCGACGAGAUCUAUCUCUGGUCCACGACGGCGACAUACGGUGUGGGUUUUGGACUGGGGCUCACGGCUUGGUUGGCAGAGCUCAUCGCUUACAUUGUCUUCGUUACGGUCGUCUGAGACCUUCACAAAAAAAAAACGAAAACACGAAGGAACGCUGCAGCAGUCCAGCCCCGCCCUUCUGCCAGGUCGAGGCACUGCUUAGACAAAGAGGAGCGCAGGGCAUGCGUUGUCACGACUUCAUCUUUUUUUUUUGAAGUGCCUCUCCGUGGAUUUCAUCCAGUGAUGCGAUUACGCUCACCUCGCUCGCGCUGCACGGGCUCCUCACCUGUCGAGUGUCUACGGCUGCCCCCCUACCCUUGCACCGCUCUGCGCAG
Molecule: unclassified non-coding RNA, 1600 nt
Filed under: Leishmania donovani
Lineage: Eukaryota; Euglenozoa; Kinetoplastea; Trypanosomatida; Trypanosomatidae
Description: gene:LdHU3.28.1910(CDS-product:Amastin_surface_gl ycoprotein_putative)
Source: RNAcentral